RNAcentral lists this ribosomal RNA (441 nucleotides) under uncultured bacterium. RNAcentral's name for it is "partial 16S ribosomal RNA". It matches the Rfam family "Bacterial small subunit ribosomal RNA", at positions 338 to 795 of the family's 1533-position model. The record is from RNAcentral.
CCUACGGGUGGCAGCAGUGAGGAAUAUUGGUCAAUGGGCGAGAGCCUGACCCAGCAACGCCGCGUGAAGGAAGAAGGCUUUCGGGUUGUAAACUUCUUUUGACAGGGAAGAGCAGAAGACGGUACCUGUCGAAUAAGCCACGGCUAACUACGUGCCAGCAGCCGCGGUAAUACGUAGGUGGCAAGCGUUGUCCGGAUUUACUGGGUGAAAAGGGCGUGUAGCCGGGCUAACAAGUCAGAUGUGAAAUCCGGGGCUCAACCCCCCAACUGCAUUUGAAACUGUUGGUCUUGAGUAUCGGAGAGGCAGGCGGAAUUCCUAGUGUAGCGGUGAAAUGCGUAGAUAUUAGGAGGAACACCAGUGGCGAAGGCGGCCUGCUGGACGACAACUGACGGUGAGGCGCGAAAGCGUGGGGAGCAAACAGGAUUAGAUACCCCUGUAGUC